ACGUAGGUGGCAAGCGUUGUCCGGAAUAACUGGGCGUAAAGCGCAUGUAGACGGCAUAGCAAGCCAAGUGUGAAAUUUAGGGGCUUAACCUCUAAACUGCGCUUGGAACUGCUGAGCUUGAGUGCAGGAGAGGCAAGUGGAAUUCCCAGUGUAGAGUGGAAAGGCUAAAAAUUUGGGAGAAACCCAAGGGCGAAGGCGACUUGCUGGACUGCAACUGACGUUGAGAUGCGAAAGCUAGGGGAGCAAACGG
RNAcentral lists this ribosomal RNA (250 nucleotides) under uncultured prokaryote. Its description in RNAcentral is "partial 16S rRNA". It matches the Rfam family "Bacterial small subunit ribosomal RNA", at positions 525 to 775 of the family's 1533-position model. The record is from RNAcentral.